GCAGGGAUAGCUCAGUAGGUAGAGCACGUGAUUGAAAAUCACGGUCGCGCCAGUUCAAUUCUGGCUCCUUGCA
This 73-nucleotide transfer RNA is filed under the name Vibrio phage 2.275.O._10N.286.54.E11. Its description in RNAcentral is "tRNA-Phe". It matches the Rfam family "tRNA". From Rfam's summary of the family: Transfer RNA (tRNA) molecules are approximately 80 nucleotides in length. The record is from RNAcentral. Lineage: Duplodnaviria; Heunggongvirae; Uroviricota; Caudoviricetes.